GAUGAAGAACGUAGUGAAAUGCGAUAAGUAAUGCGAAUUGCAGAAUUCCAGUGAAUCAUCGAAUCUUUGAACGCACCUUGCGCCCUUUGGCUAUUCCGAAGGGCAUGCCUGUUUGAGUAUCAUGAACAUCUCAACUCCUCGCGGUUUGCCCGUGACGAGCUUGGACUUUGGGGGUCUUGCCGGCCUGUGGGUCGGCUCCUCUCAAAUGAAUAAGCUUGCCGGUGUUUGGUGGCGUCACAGGUGUGAUAACUAUCUACGCUUGUGGUUUUCCGCCAGGUAACCUCCAGCAAUGGGGGUUCACUGGAGCUCACAAAUGUCUUUCCUCGGUGAGGACAGCUUUUUGAACGUUUGAUCUCAAAUCAGGUAGGACUACCCGCUGAACUUAAGCAUAUCAAUAAGCGGAGGA
RNAcentral lists this unclassified non-coding RNA (406 nucleotides) under soil metagenome. Its description in RNAcentral is "partial contains 5.8S ribosomal RNA, internal transcribed spacer 2, and large subunit ribosomal RNA". The stretch from base 1 to 122 matches the Rfam family "5.8S ribosomal RNA", at positions 35 to 154 of the family's 154-position model. The record is from RNAcentral.